RNAcentral lists this ribosomal RNA (484 nucleotides) under uncultured bacterium. RNAcentral describes it as "partial 16S ribosomal RNA". It matches the Rfam family "Bacterial small subunit ribosomal RNA", at positions 30 to 507 of the family's 1533-position model. The record is from RNAcentral.
AUUGAACGCUGGCGGCAGGCCUAAUACAUGCAAGUCGAGCGGAUGAAGGGAGCUUGCUCCUGGAUUCAGCGGCGGACGGGUGAGUAAUGCCUAGGAAUCUGCCUGGUAGUGGGGGGUAACGUCCGGAAACGGGCGCUAAUACCGCAUACGUCCUGAGGGAGAAAGUGGGGGAUCUUCGGACCUCACGCUAUCAGAUGAGCCUAGGUCGGAUUAGCUAGUUGGUGGGGUAAAGGCCUACCAAGGCGACGAUCCGUAACUGGUCUGAGAGGAUGAUCAGUCACACUGGAACUGAGACACGGUCCAGACUCCUACGGGAGGCAGCAGUGGGGAAUAUUGGACAAUGGGCGAAAGCCUGAUCCAGCCAUGCCGCGUGUGUGAAGAAGGUCUUCGGAUUGUAAAGCACUUUAAGUUGGGAGGAAGGGCAGUAAGUUAAUACCUUGCUGUUUUGACGUUACCAACAGAAUAAGCACCGGCUAACUUCGUG